RNAcentral lists this ribosomal RNA (1440 nucleotides) under Staphylococcus warneri. RNAcentral describes it as "bacterial SSU rRNA". It matches the Rfam family "Bacterial small subunit ribosomal RNA". Lineage: Bacteria; Bacillati; Bacillota; Bacilli; Caryophanales; Staphylococcaceae. The record is from RNAcentral.
GUCGAGCGAAAGAUAAGGAGCUUGCUCCUUUGACGUUAGCGGCGGACGGGUGAGUAACACGUGGAUAACCUACCUAUAAGACUGGGAUAACUUCGGGAAACCGGAGCUAAUACCGGAUAACAUAUUGAACCGCAUGGUUCAAUAGUGAAAGGCGGCUUUGCUGUCACUUAUAGAUGGAUCCGCGCCGUAUUAGCUAGUUGGUAAGGUAACGGCUUACCAAGGCAACGAUACGUAGCCGACCUGAGAGGGUGAUCGGCCACACUGGAACUGAGACACGGUCCAGACUCCUACGGGAGGCAGCAGUAGGGAAUUUUCCGCAAUGGGCGAAAGCCUGACGGAGCAACGCCGCGUGAGUGAUGAAGGUCUUCGGAUCGUAAAACUCUGUUAUCAGGGAAGAACAAAUGUGUAAGUAACUGUGCACAUCUUGACGGUACCUGAUCAGAAAGCCACGGCUAACUACGUGCCAGCAGCCGCGGUAAUACGUAGGUGGCAAGCGUUAUCCGGAAUUAUUGGGCGUAAAGCGCGCGUAGGCGGUUUUUUAAGUCUGAUGUGAAAGCCCACGGCUCAACCGUGGAGGGUCAUUGGAAACUGGAAAACUUGAGUGCAGAAGAGGAAAGUGGAAUUCCAUGUGUAGCGGUGAAAUGCGCAGAGAUAUGGAGGAACACCAGUGGCGAAGGCGACUUUCUGGUCUGUAACUGACGCUGAUGUGCGAAAGCGUGGGGAUCAAACAGGAUUAGAUACCCUGGUAGUCCACGCCGUAAACGAUGAGUGCUAAGUGUUAGGGGGUUUCCGCCCCUUAGUGCUGCAGCUAACGCAUUAAGCACUCCGCCUGGGGAGUACGACCGCAAGGUUGAAACUCAAAGGAAUUGACGGGGACCCGCACAAGCGGUGGAAGCAUGUGGUUUAAUUCGAAGCAACGCGAAGAACCUUACCAAAUCUUGACAUCCUUUGACCGCUCUAGAAGAUAGAGUCUUCCCCUUCGGGGGACAAAGUGACAGGUGGGUGCAUGGUUGUCGUCAGCUCGUGUCGUGAAGAGGUUUUGGGUUAAGUCCCGCAACGAGCGCAACCCUUAAGCUUAGUUGCCAUCAAUUAAGUUGGGCACUCUAAGUUGACUGCCGGUGACAAACCGGAGGAAGGUGGGGAUGACGUCAAAUCAUCAUGCCCCUUAUGAUUUGGGCUACACACGUGCUACAAUGGACAAUACAAAGGGCAGCUAAACCGCGAGGUCAAGCAAAUCCCAUAAAGUUGUUCUCAGUUCGGAUUGUAGUCUGCAACUCGACUACAUGAAGCUGGAAUCGCUAGUAAUCGUAGAUCAGCAUGCUACGGUGAAUACGUUCCCGGGUCUUGUACACACCGCCCGUCACACCACGAGAGUUUGUAACACCCGAAGCCGGUGGAGUAACCAUUUAUGGAGCUAGCCGUCGAAGGUGGGACAAAUGA